GGGCGGAGUCAGGAGUCUCCGGCCAGCCACAGAGGAAGCAAGAUGAGAAGGCUCACUGAGGAAAGGUACCAAGCCACGUGGCUAAACAUAGGCGAUGAGUGAAGAAGGAAGAAACAAAGCUGACUCUGUACCACCACCAUGGGUGUGGCACUUCACCCUGGAGAUGGGCGUGGCACUUCACCCUGGAGAUGGGCGUGGCACUUCACCCUGGAGAUGGGCGUGGCACUUCACCCUGGAGAUGGGCGUGGCACUUCACCCUGGAGAUGGCCACUCAGCCUCACGGAAAAAGAAUGUCGUCCCCAUGAUUGUCACAGCCAGCUCCAGCGUUGGCUCCAGCAACAGACAGGGACAGAUUAAAGUCAGUAGUGCUUGUGGUCCAGGGCCCUGGAAGGACUCCAGCAAUGGAGUCCUAGCAAUACACAUGGUAGAUAGCGUGCUAGUCUGUAGCAAUACACAUGGUAGAUAGCAUGCUAGUCUGGCUGAGCUGCCCUAACCCUUAAACAAGUCAUGAAUGUCUCACAAUUCAGGGGGCUAGGAAAUGCACAGAUCAAGGGCUGGGCGAUUGGUUCCUGCUAAGGAGGCAUGGUUAAUUCUGUUGGCCAGCAUGACAGGGACUAGACUCAGUGAACAGACCAUCCUCUGAGUAUGUCCGUGAAGGAUUUUUUUAAUCCAACUUUUAUUUUCAAUAGUCCUGUGAAGGGCUAUUUUGUUCAGGGUAGCUGACAAAGGAAGACCAAUCCUAAGUUUGGGUGGUGCCAUUUCCUGGGCUGGGGGCAGAGUCGCAUGAGGUGGAGAGAACUAGCUCAGCCCCAGCAUCCUUGGACAGCUGGUGAACAUGAGCAGUGCCCCAGGCUUCUGCCUCCCCUGACAGGAUGGACUGUGCCCUGCAGCUACGAGCCAAAUCAAACUUCCUUCUUUAAGCUGCUUUUGUCGGAAUAUUUUGUCACAGCAGCAGGACAAGUAACUCACACAAAGGACUCUUCUGCCUUGCAGACAGCUUCUUUCUCACAGUCUUCACACUGGGGAGACACAGCCCGUCUCACUCUUCCUCUUCAGAUGCCAUCAUGGGGGCCCUGUACUCAUGACCUCAUCUAAUCCUAGUCGCUUCCAAAGAGCCCAUUUCCAAAUGCCAUGACUAUUGGGGCGAGGACUUGAACGCAUGAGUUUAAAGGCAGCACGUCUCAGCCCAUGGCAUUACAUACACACAUCACAAUCCCACCACGGGAAAUGUAUGCAAGAUACAUAACAUGUAUAAUAUAGACACCGACAUAUGUUGAAAGAAAGUUAGUAUCUCUCUCUUUCUACUUUCCGUCCCCGUUACUAUGCUUCCUUCUCGGGUAAGGCCACCCUGGACUGACGACAGGCAUACUGGGGACCCUGCUGAGAAGUUGCAGUAAAUAUAUAUUGGAUGUGAGUUUGUGGUCAGGGUGGGGAGGGCAUGAGGCCCACUCUGCCAACUCCCCAGGAUCCUGCCCUGCGGCACAGAGGGAGGCUCAGAGAAGAGGAAUGUGGGUCACGGCACCCGGCCCUGAAACUAAUCCACUAGAGGAUCAGGACGGGUGAAGCCAAAGCAUUUUUAUGGGGGAAAAUCUUCUAACUCAGAUAUGAAAGAACCUCUUGUGAAGGACCCGCUGGGUUUAACUGCAGUCCUCCGGAUGCACAGGACACCGCCAGUGGGUCUGAAGCUGCAAGGAAUUUCCCUGUCAUUAGCUUAGAAAAGCCUCAGAGGGAGACAACAUCUGUUCUCUCAAAGCAACGAAUCAAAACUGCUGACACAGGGAGAGAACGUGUGUGGUCCGAAGCUAUGAAGAAAACUGUUCGCAAGGUGAUAGAUGGGCAACAAGCUGAUUUAAAUAUUA
This is a long non-coding RNA of Mesocricetus auratus (golden hamster), 1859 nucleotides long. RefSeq lists it as uncharacterized. Lineage: Eukaryota; Metazoa; Chordata; Mammalia; Rodentia; Cricetidae. The record is from RefSeq and is a predicted model, not a curated record. The transcript has 2 exons.